GGAUGAGAGGGUGAUCUGGCUGUGACAUCUGUCACCUCAUUCAUUGUUAGGGGUAAUUCAACUGAUCUGGCUGGCUAGCCUGGUGACCCCUUUCUCUCACAGCUCCACAUGCGUCCCUCUCACAGCUGCACACCAUAUCUUCCAGGAUAUAGGAGGACAGUUCUUUCAUAAAGGGUAUAUGAGUAGCUGCACUCCUUUGCUAGAACCUCUGAAUGAGCUCUCAAGAAAGCAGAAUCUAUUUUAAGAGAUUAAGGUGGAUACACAGUAAGGCAUAACACAGUAACAAUGACAUAAAUGUUAGAUGUACAGCUGUAUGUCUAUAUGU
This 325-nucleotide small nuclear RNA is filed under the name Castor canadensis (American beaver). RNAcentral describes it as "7SK RNA (ENSCCNG00000031805.1)". It matches the Rfam family "7SK RNA". From Rfam's summary of the family: 7SK was discovered as an abundant small nuclear RNA in the mid-70s but a possible function has only recently been suggested. Two independent studies have found that 7SK RNA binds the CDK9/cyclin T complex (known as elongation factor P-TEFb). Lineage: Eukaryota; Metazoa; Chordata; Mammalia; Rodentia; Castoridae. The record is from RNAcentral.